UUUGAAGAGAGAGUUCNAGAGGACGUGAAACCGGUAGGAUGGAAACGGAUAGAGCCAACGAACAAGCCCGUAUUCAGCUAGUUGGCUGCGCGCCGCAUGCCUGUGUUCCCUCGGUCAGAGGGCAUAGGCGUGUUUGGUAUGCGUGCGGUUGGCUAGUGCAUUUGCGGGUGAUGUGCGCUGAGGCGUGUGGUGGAGUCCUGGAACCCGUCCGGAGAGGUCAUGCCUUCGGGCUUGAAACCCACGGGCGGUUAGUAGGGUUUUUGCUGCACGUAGCAAGUACGGCUGGGUGGAAUUACGCGCUGUUUUCGCUGCCGGGAUAGCUGCUUGGUCGAUCGCAUGCGAUCYGAUCUCGUCGGUUCUGUCCCUGGUGGUGCRACAGUGCCCUAGCUGGGCCUCGGUGUAAAAGUUGGUCAUCUCUCCGACCCGUCUUGAAACACGGACCAAGGAGUCUAGCGUGUACGCGAGUCAUUGGGUGGAUAAAACCCAUAGGCGCAAUGAAAGUGAAGGUCUCUUUGCGGAGGCUGAUAUGCGACCCGUGGCACUUCGGUGCACGCGGAGCAGCAUAGCCCCGUCUCGACUGCUUGCAGUGGGGCGGAGGUAGAGCGUAUUCGCUGGUACCCGAAAGAUGGUGAACUAUGCCUGAGCAGGAUGAAGCCAGAGGAAACUCUGGUGGAGGUCCGAAGCGCUUCUGACGUGCAAAUCGAUCGUCUGACUUGGGUAUAGGGGCGAAAGACUAAUCGAAC
RNAcentral lists this ribosomal RNA (743 nucleotides) under Dicelis lovatiana. RNAcentral describes it as "eukaryotic LSU rRNA". It matches the Rfam family "Eukaryotic large subunit ribosomal RNA", at positions 375 to 940 of the family's 3401-position model. Lineage: Eukaryota; Metazoa; Nematoda; Chromadorea; Rhabditida; Drilonematidae. The record is from RNAcentral.